Microplitis demolitor is the source of this 1574-nucleotide RNA transcript. RefSeq lists it as uncharacterized. The transcript is spliced from 3 exons. NCBI's taxonomy places the organism in Eukaryota, Metazoa, Arthropoda, Insecta, Hymenoptera, Braconidae. The record is from RefSeq and is a predicted model, not a curated record.
GUACGAUAUGUUCGAAGAUAUUGCAAAAAUCAAAAUUUUCAAAUAUGUUUUUUUUCGGAUAACUUGUAAAGUACUUCAUGGAUUCAUUCCAAAAUAUAUCCAGCUCUAAAAUUUACAAGGUACGUCGAGUGCCACCUCAACCAUCAAAAUCGGUUAAUUUAUUUCAAAAUAAACCGUUAUCGAAAGAAUUGCGAAAAAUUGUUUCUAAUUAAAUUCAAAUUGUUUAACUAAUCAAUUAAAGUUGUUUUUGAACGUUAAUGAUUAAGAAACUGGAUUGAAUGCCACCUUGAACGUCAAAAUCGGUUCAUUAUUAUAACCGGGCAGCGUUGGUAUACGACAUGAGAGUGCGGCUCUCUCGCUGUCUCUGUCUGAAUUUGGUCUUUCUCUGUCUCUCAUAUUACAGCCUGAUUGCUAAGUUUGGCUGGGUUAAGCGCUAGACCACAGGGGAUGAUUUCGCGCAGCAGGUGACCGUAAGUCGGUCAUGUGCGCAUAAUUAGGUAGGGGUCAUCGGAGGUUGGGACCUGAGACGUCUCGAUCAGGAUCGACAUUCAAGUCCAAGCUAUCGACUCGACAUUUAAGUGCAGGCAAUCGAUUCAAGUGCAGGCGAUCGAUUCAAACGACACUCAAGUCAAAGUGCUGAUACAUACAGCCUCGUUACUCGUUGCUCGAUUGUGAAAACUGUAAAAAUUCUAAAUUAUUUUGCUCUCUCUAUAAACUGGUUUAUAAAACCAAAUUUUGUUAAGUUGAUUAUCUAAGUGAUUUGUGUGAGAGUAUCCAGCACCAAGUCCAACAUCAACAGCCAGGAUCCGGAAGAGAAGGUCCAACAUGCAGCGGCGUCCAAUACCAUCAAUAUAUAAGAUGCUAUGAACGUCGAGCUCACGGUUGUCCUGCUCGGGGAAAAAUAACAAAUGAUGAACUUGAUUUAUCGAUCGUUCAUAACCAUGUAAGAAAUCCUCAGUUGCAGAAAUAUUGCAUCUUUCAAGAUGCAUUGUUUAUUGCGGCAACGGCACGCCCUUAUAGAUCCCUGAAAGUUAUAUUUGACCAUUUGAGUGUGCAAAAUCAUGAAGCAGCGUCACAAUUCACAUGGCGGAAAAUGCAGCCGCUUAUGGAAAGUUGGCGCCGCAGUGACCGACCACCUCGUCCACCGAUUCCAAGCAAUCUACAACAGUUUGCCGAUUUUUUAAACAUGCCACAGUGGGCCUAUAAUUAACUUUACUAUGAAUAAUUUUUAGUUUUAAAUAAUUCACCAGAAAUAAUAAAUAUAAUCAUAAAUUUUAACGAUUUGAGAAAAAUCUCUGCUCCAAUUUUUUAAAUGUACAUCAAUAAUAAAUUAUGAAGCAGAAAAAUUAAUUAUUUAAUUAAUAAAAUUUUACUGAAGUAAUCAUUACAGAAAAAAAAAUUAAUCAGUUGAUAAUAAAAUAAUUGCACAUUAAAUUUUUGUCAAUAAACAAUUAAAUUAUUGCACUUCAGUUUAAUGGUACGGUGUUACAAAUUUUUUUUAAUUAGUUGGAUUUAUUUUUUAAUUAAUGAACACGGGGUAAUCGAUAUUCACAAUCGAUAUAAUUGCGGUCUUA